RNAcentral lists this microRNA precursor (105 nucleotides) under Hordeum vulgare. RNAcentral's name for it is "microRNA MIR1122". It matches the Rfam family "MIR1120/MIR1122 microRNA precursor family". Lineage: Eukaryota; Viridiplantae; Streptophyta; Magnoliopsida; Poales; Poaceae. The record is from RNAcentral.
AAAAUACUCCCUCCGUCCCAAAAUAACUGUCUUAAGCUUAGUACAAUUUUGUAUUAGAGCUAGUACAAAGUUAAGACAGUUAUUUUGGGACGGAGGGAGUACAAA